UACAGAGGGUGCGAGCGUUAAUCGGAAUUACUGGGCGUAAAGCGUGCGUAGACGGUUUCGUAAGUCGGGUGUGAAAUCCCCGGGCUCAACCUGGGAAUUGCAUUCGAAGCUGCGAGGCUAGGGUACGGAAGAGGGAAGCGGAAUUUCUGGUGUAGCGGUGAAAUGCGUAGAUAUCAGAAGGAACAUCAGUGGCGAAAGCGGCUUCCUGGUCCAGUACCGACGUUCAGGCACGAAAGCGUGGGGAGCAAACAGG
Molecule: ribosomal RNA, 253 nt
Filed under: uncultured bacterium
Lineage: Bacteria
Description: partial 16S ribosomal RNA
Rfam family: Bacterial small subunit ribosomal RNA
Source: RNAcentral